RNAcentral lists this ribosomal RNA (1372 nucleotides) under uncultured bacterium. RNAcentral describes it as "bacterial SSU rRNA". It matches the Rfam family "Bacterial small subunit ribosomal RNA", at positions 28 to 1381 of the family's 1533-position model. The record is from RNAcentral.
GAUGAACGCUGGCGGCGUGCCUAAUACAUGCAAGUCGAGCGAACGGACGAGAAGCUUGCUUCUCUGAUGUUAGCGGCGGACGGGUGAGUAACACGUGGAUAACCUACCUAUAAGACUGGGAUAACUUCGGGAAACCGGAGCUAAUACCGGAUAAUAUUUUGAACCGCAUGGUUCAAAAGUGAAAGACGGUCUUGCUGUCACUUAUAGAUGGAUCCGCGCUGCAUUAGCUAGUUGGUAAGGUAACGGCUUACCAAGGCAACGAUGCAUAGCCGACCUGAGAGGGUGAUCGGCCACACUGGAACUGAGACACGGUCCAGACUCCUACGGGAGGCAGCAGUAGGGAAUCUUCCGCAAUGGGCGAAAGCCUGACGGAGCAACGCCGCGUGAGUGAUGAAGGUCUUCGGAUCGUAAAACUCUGUUAUUAGGGAAGAACAUAUGUGUAAGUAACUGUGCACAUCUUGACGGUACCUAACCAGAAAGCCACGGCUAACUACGUGCCAGCAGCCGCGGUAAUACGUAGGUGGCAAGCGUUAUCCGGAAUUAUUGGGCGUAAAGCGCGCGUAGGCGGUUUUUUAAGUCUGAUGUGAAAGCCCACGGCUCAACCGUGGAGGGUCAUUGGAAACUGGAAAACUUGAGUGCAGAAGAGGAAAGUGGAAUUCCAUGUGUAGCGGUGAAAUGCGCAGAGAUAUGGAGGAACACCAGUGGCGAAGGCGACUUUCUGGUCUGUAACUGACGCUGAUGUGCGAAAGCGUGGGGAUCAAACAGGAUUAGAUACCCUGGUAGUCCACGCCGUAAACGAUGAGUGCUAAGUGUUAGGGGGUUUCCGCCCCUUAGUGCUGCAGCUAACGCAUUAAGCACUCCGCCUGGGGAGUACGACCGCAAGGUUGAAACUCAAAGGAAUUGACGGGGACCCGCACAAGCGGUGGAGCAUGUGGUUUAAUUCGAAGCAACGCGAAGAACCUUACCAAAUCUUGACAUCCUUUGACAACUCUAGAGAUAGAGCCUUCCCCUUCGGGGGACAAAGUGACAGGUGGUGCAUGGUUGUCGUCAGCUCGUGUCGUGAGAUGUUGGGUUAAGUCCCGCAACGAGCGCAACCCUUAAGCUUAGUUGCCAUCAUUAAGUUGGGCACUCUAAGUUGACUGCCGGUGACAAACCGGAGGAAGGUGGGGAUGACGUCAAAUCAUCAUGCCCCUUAUGAUUUGGGCUACACACGUGCUACAAUGGACAAUACAAAGGGCAGCGAAACCGCGAGGUCAAGCAAAUCCCAUAAAGUUGUUCUCAGUUCGGAUUGUAGUCUGCAACUCGACUACAUGAAGCUGGAAUCGCUAGUAAUCGUAGAUCAGCAUGCUACGGUGAAUACGUUCCCGGGUCU